CUUCGCCUCGCUUUUGGCUCCUGGGUCUCUGAAGGGUGGAGGCGCCGGGCUGGAGGCUGGGGAAGGUUUGCUCGAAAGGAGGAGGAGGAGGAAUUAAUGUCGACUCCUUGAUUGAUGAAGUUUGAAAUGUCUCCAAGACAGCGGGGAAGGAAGUCAGACACUCGGCGAGCGAUGGCUGGCUGUUUAUAAACCCAAUCUCCCUCUCAAAUUCAAAAUUCAUGGCUUUCAAUGGUGGGGGAGGGGGCCUGCUGGGGGGGGCGUCAGGAGGGAGGAUCGGAAGGGACCCCCCCUCCUGCCCCCCCCAGGUUUAUGUGAUGGAGCGAUUUUGGGAGGGGGAGAUUUCGCUCUUUCUCUCUCUCUGUUUUUGUUUUUUUUGUUUUUUUUUUUUUUAUUUUGGGCCUUUAUAAUUGUAUAUUGCUGAUAAAUACAAGCGUAUGGGGACUCUCUCUAUUAAACCCAGGACUCCGGCGAAAUUGCAGGGAAUUCAUGGUCACGGGACUGGCCUCGGCCAAUCGCUUGUCUGGGCCUGGUGGAAAACAGAGAGCAUUAUUUGCUUUAAUUGAUUCAAAAACUCUAGAGAACCACGACCUGGACACCGUGAGCCCCCAGUCCUACACUCCCUCUCCCCAGUGCUUCCCUUUCUCCAGAAAAGCUAGAGGAACCUUUCUCUCACCCCCUUCAGAAGAUGGGAGGCUCCAAAAGGUGGAAAACAAGAGAAUCUAAGGGAGAAGUCUUCCUCUCUUCCAAAUAUUUUUAAUAGAAUACAUUAGUGCUUUCUUUAUAAUGCCAGCCGUAUUAUCUUCCCCACUCUCCCCCCAUUAAAAAAAAAAAGAAAGAAAGAAAGAAAGCUGAGUAAGGAUCUCAGAGUGAAAGAAAAAGAUAGUAGAAAGAGACUUCCAUCCUUUGGGAAAGGUCAGUGUUAAGGUGCAAUAAGGAAGAGGAGAGAUUUACAAUCAUCAGCACCUCCAUCCCCAUCCCACCCCCCCCCCAAAAGCAACAGAUAAAUCUUAGAAAAUCGACAGACACUCCCAGGCUGACACAGAGGAGUGAGAUAGAUGGUGAGGGGCUCUUUGGGGCUCUGGCAGCCAAAGCUGUGUGGUCUCAGUUCCCUUCUCUGCCCAGUGUUUGCAGCACUUGUCCACCUGCCUUCCUCACCUGGAGCCAUCUCACUCCUUUUCAGGACCCCACAACAGCCAGGGUGUAAGGUGCCUAUGCUCUCCCUCAAGCCUCAAGCCUAUAUCUGUAUCUAUAUCCAGGGACAUGAACAAGAACCAAGGUAGUAGGAGAUUUAACUUAGAGCACUCUCAAACCUCAGGCCAAUGUUUGGGGGGAGGAAUCCCCGCCCAGGACAAAGAGAAUCCCCCUUCCUAUUUUUGCCAGUGUGCUAGUUUUAAUCAUCAUCAUCAUCCCUGGCAAGAAAGAAUUCUCUGAGCACGGAGAGGGUGGCAACAAUGACUACUGAGAUUAUAUUCCAUUUAGGGGGGAAGGGGAGGAUUUUUUUUUUAAUUUUAUUUUGAGGGGAUCAAGACAGUCUGAACUUUAGAAAGUAUUGUAAUGCACUGGAGAGAGGGGACACAAGACUCGCCCCCCCCCCUCCACCCCGGAGCAAUUGGUGGGAAACUAGAUCUCAAAGCAGAAAAUGAAAAGUCGAUCUGGGGGACGAUUUUUAAAUAAGUGGGUCAGAGGGACCGAGAGGAGAUGAGGCGAUCAAUCUUAGCCCCCUGACAGCUCCCUCCGAUGGCAUCAAAGAAUUUGGCUCUUUGGGAAAGCCGAGGGAACAGCCGAAAUUCCACAUCCCUUUAAAAGGCCUGGGGGUGGGGGUGAUAGCAAAAGAGAAAGGUGAUUCUGGGAGAGCAGGGGAACAGAUGGGCAAUGGGGACAGAGGGAAGGACGCUGAGUUGGGUGGAAAGUUUGUGUGGAGAACUCCCACGGCUCUGGCCUCCCCUCCCCCUCCUCCUCUCGGCUGCCCAGCAAGGAGGAGAAGGCUGGUUAGCAGAGAAAUGGCAACUCAGCCGGGAGCUGGAACUAGAAACUUUCUGUCAUGUAACAGCCGCGUGGGUGGCGACCCAAUGGUGGUUGGGCUUCGGGUCACGUGACGACUUCUUUGUAGCUCCGGAAGAGAACUGUGAAGUUUAGGUUCCUUGGAAGAAGCAGAGAACGGCAAGGAAAAAAAAAAUCAAGAUUUGGAGGAAUUACUCACAGAGAUGGAAGGUAAGUUAGUUGGUUGGUUGGUUGGUGAUGGCCUAGCCAUCUUGUCUGCUUUUUAAAAUGUGCUUCUCUGCCUUGUUUCCCUAUCUCCUAACUGGGUAUUGCUGGAGGCCUAGGGUUGAGGGGAUCAUCUCCACAGUCGGCUGUGGAUUUCUCUCCAGUGGGUUGGCAGGCGGACCGAACAAGGACUGGAGGACCUUACAAAGCAACUUCUCAGGCCAGGGGGAGGGGAAGGGGCUCCAGCCCGGGUCUUCCCAGCAGCAAGUGUGGCUCUCGCCUCUUUGCCUCCCUAUUUCAGACCUCCGGGCUGCCCCCUCAGAGCGCACGGCCUGCGCCCCUCGUAGCUCUCACCCACCCCAAGACCUCGCCCCUCCGCCGCCCCGGCCCCCCCCCCCCGCCCCUCUCCAAUCACAGGUGUGUUAAUUUGGGCGCUUCUUGGAUUCUACCCUGAGGAGGAGGCGCAUGGUGAGAGGAGAGGUCUGUGUAGGUAGGGUGGGGAUCGCAGGGUCCGUGGUGCUGGUUGGGGGCCAUAGGGGGCGCCCCAUUGUAGUCCAGGUUCCCCGAGGGGUGGUGGGAAAGGUGGUUGAGGCCGUAGAGGGAGGGGCCGGCAGGGGGCGGCAGCGGAUCCGCGUAGCCGCCCCCGCCCACGUACACGGGGCUGCCCUGCAUGGUGGGCGUCCCAUAGGCGCCCCCGUUGGCUUGGAGGACGUGGGGCUCGUAAUCGGCCGCCGGAGUCGGGGGGUACUUCUGCGGGGCGCCGCAGCCUUUGAGAGGGGGCUGGUAGUUGGAGGGCAGCGCGUAGGCAUUCUGGUGGGCUUUGCCGAAGGCGGGCGGGGACGGGCUCUCGUAGCUGGGGGUCAUGGAGUGUAAGGCGUUCAUGAAGCCGGCCGUGGACUGCAUGGGUUGCGGGGGGCUGCCGGCAGGGGAGGGGCCCCCGGACGACGAGGCCAGGCCCUUGGCCUUCUGGUCCUUCUUGUACUUCAUGCGCCGGUUCUGGAACCAGAUCUUGAUCUGCCGCUCGCUGAGGUUCAGCAGGUUGGCCAUCUCCACGCGGCGCGGCCGGCACAGGUAGCGGUUGAAGUGGAACUCCUUCUCCAGCUCCACCAGCUGCGCGCUCGUGUACGCCGUCCGCGCGCGCUUGGACGCCGCCGACCCCGGGGGGCUCUUGUCCCCUCCCCCGCCGCCGCCGCCGCCCCCGCCGCCACCACUGCCGCCGCCUCCGCCGCCGCCGCAGCCCUCCGCUGGAUCCGAGGGGGAGGGGUGGGAAGGGGACAAAAUGAAAUAAAAGAUAAUUACUGAACACGCCGAAAUU
This is a long non-coding RNA of Acinonyx jubatus (cheetah), 3520 nucleotides long. RefSeq lists it as uncharacterized. The record is from RefSeq and is a predicted model, not a curated record. Lineage: Eukaryota; Metazoa; Chordata; Mammalia; Carnivora; Felidae. The transcript is spliced from 3 exons.